Molecule: long non-coding RNA, 353 nt
Organism: Parasteatoda tepidariorum (common house spider)
Lineage: Eukaryota; Metazoa; Arthropoda; Arachnida; Araneae; Theridiidae
Source: RefSeq, a predicted model, not a curated record
AACUAUUUAAACACGCAAUUCGACUUGGUUUUACACUUUUUUUUUAACUCUUUUGACGCAGUUCAGGUGAGUCUCGAGAAGAAAUAAUGAAUUUCUUAUCAAAAAUUUUCUUCAUCUUCUCUAUAUUGGCUUUCAUGGCAGUAGCUCAAGGAGAGGUUCACAAAGUCAGGAGGAGAGUUCAUCACCAUAAAGGUACAAAAGGUAUAGUCCCAGCUGCACUAAGUGGAGCUGGCAGGGCUGCUACAAACGGAAUCGGAAUUGCCGGAAAAGUACUAGAUGGUGUUGGCAAUCUUUUGUAAUGAGAUUAAUGGAAGGAUAAAACAUUGUUUCAAUAAAGAAAAAAACUCUUAAAA